UUUUUCUUUUCUUUUUUUUUUUUUUGUACCAGGCAGUUUAAAAAAAAAAAAAACACCCCAAAAAAAGAAAACACAAAAAAAACCCCAAACAACCAAACAAAAAAACGUUUUGCUGUGUCCUUUCUGACCAGUCAGCACGUUCCCCCUCAAAUAUUUUUUUUUUGUUUGUUUGUUUCCUGAAACGCGAGAAUUCAGCAGUAUCUUUGGCAACACUUUAUCACGACCUUAAUUUAAAGAAUAAAAAUAAAAUCGAUUCACGUCUAUAUACAGUAUGUGAUUGCGCAGAGUUGGGGGGCUGGGGUCCCGGCGCUGGGCCCAUGCAGACGCUGCGGCCCCUAGGUCGGGCUGGCGGGCAGCAGGAGAGGGGUUAAGGCGGAGUGGGUGGGCAGGGCUGUCAGAAGCUGAGCUCAGAGCUAGGGGCAGGGGUUUAGUGCAAUUCCCGAGGAAGUCUGUGUUAAAAGUGUGCUCGGCGGGGGGGUUCAGCCCUUCCCCCGCCAUAGUCCCAGAGGCCUCGAUCCCCCAAUCCAGUCGCCCCCACUGGCCAGGACGACAGCUGUGAUUUUUCAGUUGGUUUUAUUGCGAGGGGGGUGUAUGGGGUAGGGCAGGGGGAGAGGGCCGCGCCCUCAGGGAACCUCUUGGCCGGGGUGGGGGCGGGGGUCCCUGGCCUGGGCGCUUGAGCUCCCUGCUUGGCCUCCACAGAUGGUUCUCCGAAAGAGCGAGGCCACCCGGCCCUGGGCUCCCCUGCCACCCCCCUCAGGAGGGGGGGUCCUGAGACAUUUGGGGGGCUGAUGGGCCCGGGGGGUGGGGUGGGGCACGAAAACUAUCCUGUAGAAACAAUGAUGAAAGUUGCCUUCUUAAAAAGCUUCCCUUUAAAAAAAAAAAAAAGAAAGAAAGAAAAGACGAGAAGACGGGGUCUGUCACAGAGCCAAGGGGUGCGGGGAGAUGGACCAGCAGCUGGAGGGGGGGCAGGGGCACCCCUCACCUUGGGCUUUGAUGGGGGAGGGUCUCGGCUUGGCAGAGCGUCUAUUUACAGGGUCCCACGCUAGGCAUUGCAUAUGCGAGAGGGCGUCGGGGUGAGGGUGCCCUGGCCUCUGGCGACACGGUCCCCCCAGCCCUGGCCCCCGUCCGUGGCCUGUGGCUCGGUCGAUACCGGGCCUUUUGGGGGGCCAGAGGCUGGGGGAGGCGGGUGCCGGCCCCCAGAUUACAGUCAGUGCCUUUGAAUAAAAAGAGGGGUGCCUGGGGGAUGUAAGGCCCUGGAGGUGGGGCCCCGUCACCCACCUCGACGGGGAUGGCAUGUCCUAGAUGGCGGCUCCUUGGCGGCCACGGCGGCGGGGGCGGGGGGGGCAGCCAUGCUGAGGGGGAGCCCCAAAGUGGGGGGGUUGCUCCGGCUGGUCGGAAGGCCAGCCCUCUCUCGGUCCGUCCCUGAGCUGGGGAGUCAGUAAGGAGGGUCCCCGCGGACACGGGCGGCCAUCGUAUGGCUGGCGGGUGAUGAGACUUCUCCGAAUCAGAACCAAAAAGGGGACGGGGUGGGGGUGGGGGGGGGACACGGCAGAAACACAAAAACCCCGCGGUCCUGCCUGCAAGGCAAGCCCCCCGCGGCGAAGCCCCGAGAGAGGAGCCCGUGCCUUCCUGACCCCGCCUCACCUCGGGGAACAGAAGUGGAUUCUGCAUCUGUGGUGGGUUUUUUUUUUUAUUAUUUUGUACAAAAAUAAAUUGACUUUUAGGAAUUUGCUCUCUCGCUCGCUCGCUCUCUCUCGCUCGCUCUCUCUCUUUUAUUUUUGUUUUUUUUUUUGUCUUUUCGACUUUUCAUAGAAGUUGGUUGCAACUUGUAAACAUGUUUUUAAAUUAAGAAUUAAGAUAAAGUGUAGUACCCGUUCUGUUACAAAGUGCCAAGACUUCUAUUUGUGGUUGGUUGUCUUUUUUUUUUCCUUUUUUUUUUGUUUGUUUUUUGUUUUUUUUUGUUUUUUCCUUUCGUUU
RNAcentral lists this long non-coding RNA (1977 nucleotides) under Canis lupus familiaris (dog). RNAcentral describes it as "lncRNA (ENSCAFG00000054425.1)". The record is from RNAcentral. Lineage: Eukaryota; Metazoa; Chordata; Mammalia; Carnivora; Canidae.